Molecule: long non-coding RNA, 1056 nt
Organism: Coccinella septempunctata (seven-spotted ladybird)
Lineage: Eukaryota; Metazoa; Arthropoda; Insecta; Coleoptera; Coccinellidae
Exons: 4
Source: RefSeq, a predicted model, not a curated record
AUCGCUGGUCGGAAGCGUGCCAUGCUUCAUCCCUCCGGUUACCCAGGAAUCGUGGGAGCUGCAACAGGUGGAAAGCCUCCAACAGCUCGACGUGGGGGCUCAAUGGGCUGGUGUGACCCGGCUGUACGGACGUUGAGACUUUCGGAUCCGGUAUGAGACUUGCAGGUGGCCUUGGUUUCUUGGACAGGCACAGAGGGCUAACUCCCUACUGGUUUGCAUGCGGAACUUGUUCGAUUUCUUCCGGGGCGGUUCGGAUUGGGUGGAUGCGCUGGGGAUAUCGCAUUGGACGGCAGCCUCGCGUUGACGGUGAUGAGACUGACAAGUACAAUUUCUGGUUAAUGUACCUAGCAGGCCGCAACUGCUGCAGAAGAGAAUCGGGGUACCGGUGCAGUGUGCUCGACUGUGUUCCCCUUGGCCACAUCUCCAACACAUAUUAGGGCGAAGUUCUAAGUAGACAUUGGGCCCCAUUGUGCCAACUGUACGUACUCGGGCUGGAAUCUUGGUUGUUAUUUGACGGUUAUCUGGACGGUUGUUGUGUCGGUGGAUAUCAUGUUGACGAUUAUCCGGUUGUUUGGAAAUCUUCCCCUUGUUUAUGAAAUAACGUUUAUCUUGCUUAUUUCUCUUUUCAGUUGGAAAGUCUACUUCCAUUGCAUUCCGCCUCUGAGCCGGAACAGCCGCCUGUUGUAGUUCCUGCUUCCUGGGUGAUGAUGUGGAACGGUCGGUGACAGCGGAAGAGGUGUUUGGUUUGGGGCGACCAAAUGCUUUGAGUGCCCCCAACGGCAACGGCACAGGACGGGGAGGAGAUUCCGGUUCCUGGUCUUUUAGUGGCUCGACAAGACCCAGCUCCUCGUCCAGUCGUUCCAGAAAGUCUGAGUCGCUCAUGUUGCUGCCGUCAGACGGUAUUCUGAAAAGAGGAAGAUAGUUCUUACGGUUUCAAUCCACUGGCACCCAGAGACGGUGGGCAGUGCCGGAGGGAAACCUGAGCUUCAGCCGGAGCCGGCGUUUGCCCUUGACGGUGGUCGGUAUCAGGGCGAUGACCUCAGUCCGAAGACUGGG